RNAcentral lists this ribosomal RNA (404 nucleotides) under uncultured Hyphomicrobiales bacterium. RNAcentral describes it as "bacterial SSU rRNA". It matches the Rfam family "Bacterial small subunit ribosomal RNA", at positions 356 to 777 of the family's 1533-position model. Lineage: Bacteria; Pseudomonadati; Pseudomonadota; Alphaproteobacteria; Hyphomicrobiales. The record is from RNAcentral.
GGGGAAUAUUGGACAAUGGGGGCAACCCUGAUCCAGCCAUGCCGCGUGAGUGAUGAAGGCCUUAGGGUUGUAAAGCUCUUUUACCUGGGAAGAUAAUGACGGUACCAGGAGAAUAAGCCCCGGCUAACUUCGUGCCAGCAGCCGCGGUAAUACGAAGGGGGCUAGCGUUGUUCGGAAUCACUGGGCGUAAAGCGCACGUAGGCGGAUCUUUAAGUCAGAGGUGAAAGCCUGGAGCUCAACUCCAGAACUGCCUUUGAUACUGGGGAUCUCGAGUCCGGGAGAGGUGAGUGGAACUGCGAGUGUAGAGGUGAAAUUCGUAGAUAUUCGCAAGAACACCAGUGGCGAAGGCGGCUCACUGGCCCGGUACUGACGCUGAGGUGCGAAAGCGUGGGGAGCAAACAGGA